This 508-nucleotide ribosomal RNA is filed under the name uncultured microorganism. Its description in RNAcentral is "bacterial SSU rRNA". It matches the Rfam family "Bacterial small subunit ribosomal RNA", at positions 9 to 514 of the family's 1533-position model. The record is from RNAcentral.
GAGUUUGAUCCUGGCUCAGGAUGAACGCUGGCGGCGUGCCUAAUACAUGCAAGUCGAACGCUUCACUUCGGUGAAGAGUGGCGAACGGGUGAGUAAUACAUAAGUAACCUGGCAUCUACAGGGGGAUAACUGAUGGAAACGUCAGCUAAGACCGCAUAGGUGUAGAGAUCGCAUGAACUCUAUAUGAAAAGUGCUACGGGACUGGUAGAUGAUGGACUUAUGGUGCAUUAGCUGGUUGGUGGGGUAACGGCCUACCAAGGCGACGAUGCGUAGCCGACCUGAGAGGGUGACCGGCCACACUGGGACUGAGACACGGCCCAGACCCCUACGGGAGGCAGCAGUAGGGAAUUUUCGGCAAUGGGGGAAACCCUGACCGAGCAACGCCGCGUGAAGGAAGAAGUAAUUCGUUAUGUAAACUUCUGUCAUAGAGGAAGAACGGUGGAUAUAGGGAAUGAUAUCCAAGUGACGGUACUCUAUAAGAAAGCCACGGCUAACUACGUGCCAGCCG